UCGACGUUCUUCGUAGUAGUAAACAGAAACGUCACCGCGAGGGAUACGAUGAUACUUUUCGUAAAGAGCAGACUUCAUCUGGUCCGAAAAACCAUUACGUCUAUUUCGUUUGAGGAUCCGAAAAGUUUGCCAAUCAAAGACCACGCUGAAACAACUGACAUUUGCUUGUUCUGAUUCGGAGGACUUUUUUCUUGUAGGUAGAGGCAUUAUGCGAAGAUCUUAGACUUCUGGGCAAGAAAUAAUUCAAGCAACUUUUGAAGUGGUGCCUGCAUGUACGAAAAGCUCUUUUGAAAACGGCAGCUUCGGAGGGUGAUAAGGCUGCUGAACAGGAUGACGACGAAAAAGAAGAAGAUGAAGACGAGGAUAUGCUAAAGAAAAUGGAGGAGCUCAAGUCUCUAAUGGAUUCGAAAAGCAAGCAGGCGAAAAAGAAGGCUGCCAAGCGUAAA
Selaginella moellendorffii is the source of this 446-nucleotide long non-coding RNA. RefSeq lists it as uncharacterized. The record is from RefSeq and is a predicted model, not a curated record. Lineage: Eukaryota; Viridiplantae; Streptophyta; Lycopodiopsida; Selaginellales; Selaginellaceae. The transcript has 3 exons.